RNAcentral lists this ribosomal RNA (81 nucleotides) under Triticum aestivum (bread wheat). RNAcentral describes it as "partial small subunit ribosomal RNA". The record is from RNAcentral. Lineage: Eukaryota; Viridiplantae; Streptophyta; Magnoliopsida; Poales; Poaceae.
AUGGCGGGCAAGGCAUUCCAGCCUGACGGCGGCUGCAUGAAGAACUUUGACGAGUUCGUCAAGAUAGUUUGUCGGGUGUGA